This 279-nucleotide ribosomal RNA is filed under the name uncultured bacterium. RNAcentral's name for it is "partial 16S ribosomal RNA". It matches the Rfam family "Bacterial small subunit ribosomal RNA", at positions 506 to 784 of the family's 1533-position model. The record is from RNAcentral.
UGCCAGCCGCCGCGGUAAUACGGAGGGUCCAAGCGUUAUCCGGAUUUAUUGGGUUUAAAGGGUGCGCAGGCGGUCUAUUAAGUCAGUGGUGAAAGCCUACAGCUCAACUGUAGAACUGCCAUUGAUACUGAUAGACUUGAGUAUAGUUGAAGUGGGCGGAAUGUGUCAUGUAGCGGUGAAAUGCAUAGAUAUGACACAGAACACCGAUAGCGAAGGCAGCUCACUAAACUAUUACUGACGCUCAGGCACGAAAGCGUGGGUAGCGAACAGGAUUAGAUA